GACGAACGCUGGCGGCGUGCUUAACACAUGCAAGUCGAACGGAAAGGCCCUGCUUUUGUGGGGUGCUCGAGUGGCGAACGGGUGAGUAACACGUGAGUAACCUGCCCUUGACUUUGGGAUAACUUCAGGAAACUGGGGCUAAUACCGGAUAGGAGCUCCUGCUGCAUGGUGGGGGUUGGAAAGUUUCGGCGGUUGGGGAUGGACUCGCGGCUUAUCAGCUUGUUGGUGGGGUAGUGGCUUACCAAGGCUUUGACGGGUAGCCGGCCUGAGAGGGUGACCGGCCACAUUGGGACUGAGAUACGGCCCAGACUCCUACGGGAGGCAGCAGUGGGGAAUAUUGCACAAUGGGCGGAAGCCUGAUGCAGCAACGCCGCGUGCGGGAUGACGGCCUUCGGGUUGUAAACCGCUUUCGCCUGUGACGAAGCGUGAGUGACGGUAAUGGGUAAAGAAGCACCGGCUAACUACGUGCCAGCAGCCGCGGUGAUACGUAGGGUGCGAGCGUUGUCCGGAUUUAUUGGGCGUAAAGGGCUCGUAGGUGGUUGAUCGCGUCGGAAGUGUAAUCUUGGGGCUUAACCCUGAGUGUGCUUUCGAUACGGGUUGACUUGAGGAAGGUAGGGGAGAAUGGAAUUCCUGGUGGAGCGGUGGAAUGCGCAGAUAUCAGGAGGAACACCAGUGGCGAAGGCGGUUCUCUGGGCCUUUCCUGACGCUGAGGAGCGAAAGCGUGGGGAGCGAACAGGCUUAGAUACCCUGGUAGUCCACGCUGUAAACGGUGGGUACUAGGUGUGGGGUCCAUUCCACGGGUUCCGUGCCGUAGCUAACGCUUUAAGUACCCCGCCUGGGGAGUACGGCCGCACGGCUAAAACUCAAAGGAAUUGACGGGGCCCCGCACAAGCGGCGGAGCAUGCGGAUUAAUUCGAUGCAACGCGUAGAACCUUACCUGGGUUUGACAUGGAUCGGGAGUGCUCAGAGAUGGGUGUGCCUCUUUUGGGGUCGGUUCACAGGUGGUGCAUGGCUGUCGUCAGCUCGUGUCGUGAGAUGUUGGGUUAAGUCCCGCAACGAGCGCAACCCUUGUUCACUGUUGCCAGCACGUUAUGGUGGGGACUCAGUGGAGACCGCCGGGGUCAACUCGGAGGAAGGUGGGGAUGACGUCAAGUCAUCAUGCCCCUUAUGUCCAGGGCUUCACGCAUGCUACAAUGGCUGGUACAGAGAGUGGCGAGCCUGUGAGGGUGAGCGAAUCUCGGAAAGCCGGUCUCAGUUCGGAUUGGGGUCUGCAACUCGACCUCAUGAAGUCGGAGUCGCUAGUAAUCGCAGAUCAGCAACGCUGCGGUGAAUACGUUCCCGGGGCU
RNAcentral lists this ribosomal RNA (1346 nucleotides) under uncultured bacterium. Its description in RNAcentral is "partial 16S ribosomal RNA". It matches the Rfam family "Bacterial small subunit ribosomal RNA", at positions 28 to 1381 of the family's 1533-position model. The record is from RNAcentral.